CCUACGGGGGGCAGCAGUGGGGAAUAUUGCACAAUGGGCGCAAGCCUGAUGCAGCCAUGCCGCGUGUGUGAAGAAGGCCUUCGGGUUGUAAAGCACUUUCAGCGGGGAGGAAGGCGGUGAGGUUAAUAACCUCAUCGAUUGACGUUACCCGCAGAAGAAGCACCGGCUAACUCCGUGCCAGCAGCCGCGGUAAUACGGAGGGUGCAAGCGUUAAUCGGAAUUACUGGGCGUAAAGCGCACGCAGGCGGUCUGUCAAGUCGGAUGUGAAAUCCCUGGGCUCAACCUGGGAACUGCAUUCGAAACUGGCAGGCUAGAGUCUUGUAGAGGGGGGUAGAAUUCCAGGUGUAGCGGUGAAAUGCGUAGAGAUCUGGAGGAAUACCGGUGGCGAAGGCGGCCCCCUGGACAAAGACUGACGCUCAGGUGCGAAAGCGUGGGGAGCAAACAGGAUUAAAUACCCGGGUAGUC
This 465-nucleotide ribosomal RNA is filed under the name uncultured Klebsiella sp. Its description in RNAcentral is "bacterial SSU rRNA". It matches the Rfam family "Bacterial small subunit ribosomal RNA", at positions 338 to 795 of the family's 1533-position model. The record is from RNAcentral. Lineage: Bacteria; Pseudomonadati; Pseudomonadota; Gammaproteobacteria; Enterobacterales; Enterobacteriaceae.